Non-coding RNA from Alligator sinensis (Chinese alligator), 72 nucleotides. Lineage: Eukaryota; Metazoa; Chordata; Crocodylia; Alligatoridae. The record is from Rfam.
GGGAGCAUAGCUCAGUGGUAGAGCAUUUGACUGCAGAUCAAUGGGUCCCCAGUUCAAAUCUGGGUGUUCCCU